ACUCCUACGGGAGGCAGCAGUGGGGAAUAUUGGACAAUGGGGGCAACCCUGAUGCAGCCAUGCCGCGUGAAUGAAGAAGGCCUUCGGGUUGUAAAGUUCUUUCGGUAGCGAGGAAGGUGGUAAUGUUAAUAGCAUUAUCAAUUGACGUUAACUACAGAAGAAGCACCGGCUAACUCCGUGCCAGCAGCCGCGGUAAU
RNAcentral lists this ribosomal RNA (197 nucleotides) under uncultured Actinobacillus sp. Its description in RNAcentral is "partial 16S ribosomal RNA". It matches the Rfam family "Bacterial small subunit ribosomal RNA", at positions 335 to 524 of the family's 1533-position model. The record is from RNAcentral. Lineage: Bacteria; Pseudomonadati; Pseudomonadota; Gammaproteobacteria; Pasteurellales; Pasteurellaceae.